RNAcentral lists this transfer RNA (66 nucleotides) under Orestia punctipennis. RNAcentral describes it as "tRNA-Asp". Lineage: Eukaryota; Metazoa; Arthropoda; Insecta; Coleoptera; Chrysomelidae. The record is from RNAcentral.
AAAAAUUUAGUUAAAAAAUAACAGUAGCUUGUCAUGCUAAAAUUAUUAACUAAUUAAUAAUUUUUA